Molecule: long non-coding RNA, 737 nt
Filed under: Hordeum vulgare
Lineage: Eukaryota; Viridiplantae; Streptophyta; Magnoliopsida; Poales; Poaceae
Description: long non-coding RNA (HVUL_LNC008822)
Source: RNAcentral
AUGGAACAAGAUGAGGAGGACGACUUUGUUAGCUUUCGGAAUUUUAUGUCACUGGAUGUGGGUUUCACGUGUCAAUUAACAAUCAACUAAACAGUCAAACAAACGGUUUACUUAUGGAUGAGACCCAGUAGUCAUAAGCAUGAUUAAAAUUUAAUCACAUGGCAAUUUAGUUUUUUUUUUGAACAGCCCAUCACUUUUGUGAUAGUUUUUUGAACAAUCAAAAAAAGUGGUAGUUUUUCGUAGACCUAACCUACAAUGUGGUAGUUUUAUGUUAUUUACUCUCUUUCUGGUGUUCAUCUUGGCACGGUUCGUCACCUCUUACUCGUCAUAACAUCGGGGCACAAAUAAAUGAAUGAGAAAAAGCAAAUCAAAUAGCAGCCAAACACAAGUCAGAGUGAGCGGGUAGCAGAGAUUUUGAUAAGAUGGAUAUUCUAUAAACUGAGGUAGCAAAGAAGAUUCAAUGGAUUCACUGGGUUUAGGUUUAGGAUGGCUAAUCAUAGCUUGGCCAUUGACUAAAUAGUACCCAUUAUAUAUACCUUGGGCCAAUCGUGUAAAUAAACAUGACAUGCCAAUACACGAAAUAAUAAAACUAUGCUAUGCACUUUAGCCACAUAAGCGACACCAUGGCAUGUCAGAAGUAGUAGUUAGCCACUAAAUUUAGACAUGGCUAAAUAUUUACAGUUGUUAACGACAACCAAAACUAAACGUCGACAAUGUAACCAUUAGCAAGAAUUUCC